AGAGUUUGAUCCUGGCUCAGGAUGAACGCUGGCGGCGUGCCUAAUACAUGCAAGUAGAACGCUGAAGCUUGGUGCUUGCACCGAGCGGAAGAGUUGCGAACGGGUGAGUAACGCGUAGGUAACCUGCCUCUUAGCGGGGGAUAACUAUUGGAAACGAUAGCUAAUACCGCAUAAAAGUCGACAUUGCAUGAUGUUGACUUGAAAGGUGCAAUGCAUCACUAAGAGAUGGACCUGCGUUGUAUUAGCUAGUUGGUGAGGUAACGGCUCACCAAGGCGACGAUACAUAGCCGACCUGAGAGGGUGAUCGGCCACACUGGGACUGAGACACGGCCCAGACUCCUACGGGAGGCAGCAGUAGGGAAUCUUCGGCAAUGGACGGAAGUCUGACCGAGCAACGCCGCGUGAGUGAAGAAGGUUUUCGGAUCGUAAAGCUCUGUUGUAAGAGAAGAACGAGUGUGAGAGUGGAAAGUUCACACUGUGACGGUAACUUACCAGAAAGGGACGGCUAACUACGUGCCAGCAGCCGCGGUAAU
This 533-nucleotide ribosomal RNA is filed under the name uncultured bacterium. Its description in RNAcentral is "bacterial SSU rRNA". It matches the Rfam family "Bacterial small subunit ribosomal RNA", at positions 8 to 524 of the family's 1533-position model. The record is from RNAcentral.